GCACAACAUCAUCAACAAUUCAACAACUAAAAACAUCGAUAACACCAACAAUUUCCACAUUGAUAGCUUUCAACAUCAAUGUUUUCACCCAAUAACGACGAUCUCAGCUACCCAAAGACCUGAUCCAAACCCGUCACCAUGCGAACAAUAUCUUCGACCCGAUCAAGCUCGACCAGUUUCAACCCGACCUCAAUCCGAUGCUCAUGUGCAUCACGAGCAUCCCAUGCGGAUUUUAGGCAAAGAAAGGACGAGAAGCUUCUAGAAGAUUGCUUAGUUGGCUCAUCCAACAUUCAAAUCCGUGAAUCUCGAGAUAACGGUACAAGGUUGGUACAUAUUGGGAUGAUUUUGAUUGGUUUGAGCGAGAUGGUUCUAUUUACCCCAUUUUCUAUUGGCUUUCUUCCAAAAUCUGUUGAAGAUAAUCCAAAUGGGUACCCUUGUUGAUAAAACCCUAGGCCAUAGGAGGAUUUGAAUUUCAAAUCUCAAAAUAUCCUAUUUUAAAAAUCCCCGAUUUACCCUCAAUUCGUCUUCUGUAUAAGGACCCCUUGGGUCAUUGUUUCACGGGGGAAAUUUUUCUCUCUUCUUCCCUUUUGGAUUGGAAAUUCGGGCAUAAAAAAAUUUGGGUUGGAAAAUUUGAGAGGAAAGAUAAGAAAGAGAGAGGAGGAAGAAAGAAAAAGAAAGAAAAGUCCUAAGAAGUCCAAUCUUUCAGUGGGAAUUCUGUUGAUUUUUAGAGAAUUCGUCGACUAGGAAAGAGACUCCGACUUGACGACAAUAUUUUCUGGUGGUUGGAACCCUAUCAUCAACUCGUCGUCCCAUUUUGCUGCCCAAAAACUGAUCAGUGCUCGACUUUUUCUUUGUUGCCGUGUUGUAAUGGUCAUAGCAGUAGAGUUUCAAUUUCAAUUAUUGUGUUGUAUGUUGUUGUUUACUGUAGGGGUCUUAAAAGGACAUAGAACUGAUGCAUGUGGGAUUGUGUUUAAAGCUUACUUUACUAGUGUCAAAAUGCUUUGUUUUAAUCCAACUUUGCUCGAUGUUGGUAGUUUUGAACUUUUCUUAUUCCUUUUCAUGAAAUGUUCUAGGUGUUAGUAUCCUUGUUCUUGAGAAUUUUUCUCUGAUUCACCUUUUUUAGUUUUCGAAGAGACUUGAAAGGGGUUAGAAUCAAGGUUAGAAUCAAUUUUUUUUAUGAGGUAAUCCAUCUUUACCUUGAUGUUGACCGGUUCAAAUUUUUAUUUUGCUUCUUUUGAAACUGGAAAGGUGCGAGAAGUGAGAUUGGAACAAGUGUUGUUAACGAACCAAUUCAUAUGUUUGUUAAGAUUUAACGAGAUUGUAUGUGUCUUGACUAAUUUCAUUGGUACACCAUUUUGCAU
Molecule: long non-coding RNA, 1361 nt
Filed under: Capsicum annuum
Lineage: Eukaryota; Viridiplantae; Streptophyta; Magnoliopsida; Solanales; Solanaceae
Description: long non-coding RNA (CANN_LNC003948)
Source: RNAcentral